CCAGACUCCUACGGGAGGCAGCAGUGGGGAAUAUUGGGCAAUGGAGGAAACUCUUACCCAGCAAUGCCGCGUGAAUGAAGAAGGUCUUCGGAUUGUAAAGUUCUUUCAUUGGGGACGAAAAAAAUGACGGUACCCAAGGAAUAAGCCCCGGCUAACUACGUGCCAGCAGCCGCGGUAAUACGUAGGGGGCGAGCGUUGUUCGGAAUGACUGGGGGUAAAGGGUGCGUAGGCGGUGUAGCAAGUUAGAAGUGAAAUACCUAGAGCUUAACUCAGGUGCUGCUUCUAAAACUGCUAUACUUGAGUGCAGUAGAGGAAAGUGGAAUUCCUAGUGUAGCGGUGGAAUGCGUAGAUAUUAGGAGGAACAUCAGUGGCGAAGGCGACUAUCUGGCACAUAACUGACGCUGAGGAGCGAAAGCGUGGGUAGCAAACAGGAUUAGAUACCCCCGUAUU
Molecule: ribosomal RNA, 450 nt
Filed under: uncultured bacterium
Lineage: Bacteria
Description: bacterial SSU rRNA
Rfam family: Bacterial small subunit ribosomal RNA
Source: RNAcentral